RNAcentral lists this ribosomal RNA (922 nucleotides) under Oedohysterium sinense. Its description in RNAcentral is "SSU rRNA". It matches the Rfam family "Eukaryotic small subunit ribosomal RNA", at positions 125 to 1056 of the family's 1831-position model. Lineage: Eukaryota; Fungi; Ascomycota; Dothideomycetes; Hysteriales; Hysteriaceae. The record is from RNAcentral.
AAUACCUUACUACUUGGAUAACCGUGGUAAUUCUAGAGCUAAUACAUGCUAAAAACUCCAACUUCGGAAGGGGUGUAUUUAUUAGAUAAAAAACCAACGCCCUUUGGGGCUCCUUGGUGAAUCAUGAUAACUUAACGGAUCGCAUGGCCUUGCGCCGGCGACGGUUCAUUCAAAUUUCUGCCCUAUCAACUUUCGAUUGUAGGGUAUUGGCCUACAAUGGUAUCAACGGGUAACGGGGAGUUAGGGCUCGACUCCGGAGAGGGAGCCUGAGAAACGGCUACCACAUCCAAGGAAGGCAGCAGGCGCGCAAAUUACCCAAUCCCGACACGGGGAGGUAGUGACAAUAAAUACUGAUCCGGGGCUCUUUUGGGUCUCGGAAUUGGAAUGAGUACAAUUUAAAUCCCUUAACGAGGAACAAUUGGAGGGCAAGUCUGGUGCCAGCAGCCGCGGUAAUUCCAGCUCCAAUAGCGUAUAUUAAAGUUGUUGCAGUUAAAAAGCUCGUAGUUGAACCUUGGGCCUGGCUGGCCGGUCCGCCUCACCGCGUGCACUGGUCCGGCCGGGCCUUUCCUCUUGGGGAGCCGCAUGCCCUUCGCUGGGCGUGUUGGGGAACCAGGACUUUUACUGUGAAAAAAUUAGAGUGUUCAAAGCAGGCCUUUGCUCGGAUACAUUAGCAUGGAAUAAUGGAAUAGGACGUGCGGUUCUAUUUUGUUGGUUUCUAGGACCGCCGUAAUGAUUAAUAGGGAUAGUCGGGGGCGUCCGUAUUCAAUUGUCAGAGGUGAAAUUCUUGGAUUUAUUGAAGACGAACUACUGCGAAAGCAUUCGCCAAGGAUGUUUUCAUUAAUCAGUGAACGAAAGUUAGGGGAUCGAAGACGAUCAGAUACCGUCGUAGUCUUAACCGUAAACUAUGCCGACUAGGGAUCGG